This 913-nucleotide ribosomal RNA is filed under the name uncultured archaeon. RNAcentral's name for it is "bacterial SSU rRNA". It matches the Rfam family "Archaeal small subunit ribosomal RNA", at positions 1 to 923 of the family's 1478-position model. The record is from RNAcentral.
UUCCGGUUGAUCCCGCCGGACCUGACUGCUAUCGGAUUGAUACUAAGCCAUGCGAGUUUUUGUAGCAAUACAAGGCAGACGGCUCAGUAACACGUAGUCAAUCUAACCUAUGGACGAGGAUAACCUCGGGAAACUGAGAAUAAUACUCGAUAGAUCAUUAUGCCUGGAACGGUUUAUGGUUCAAAUGAAAUUCGCCAUAGGGUGGGACUGCGGUCUAUCAGCUUGUUGGUGAGGUAAUGGCCCACCAAGGCUAUAACAGAUACGGGCUCUGAGAGGAGAAGCCCGGAGAUGGGUACUGAGACACGGACCCAGGCCCUAUGGGGCGCAGCAGGCGAGAAAACUUUGCAAUGUGCGAAAGCACGACAAGGUUAAUCCGAGUGAUUCCUGCUAAAGGAAUCUUUUGUUAGUCAUAACACCACUAAUGAAUAAGGGGUGGGCAAGUUCUGGCGUCAGCCGCCGCGGUAAAACCAGCACCUCAAGUGGUCAGGAGGAUUAUUGGGCCUAAAGCAUCCGUAGCCGGCUUUGUUAGUUUUCGGUUAAAUCUAUAUGCUCAACAUAUAGGCUGCCGGAAAUACUGUAAAGCUAGGGAGUGGGAGAGGUAGACGGUACUCCGUAGGAAGGGGUAAAAUCCUUUGAUCUAUGGAUGACCACCUGUGGCGAAGGCGGUCUACCAGAACACGUCCGACGGUGAGGGAUGAAAGCUGGGGGAGCAAACCGGAUUAGAUACCCGGGUAGUCCCAGCUGUAAACUAUGCAAACUCAGUGAUGCAUUGGCUUGUGGCCAGUGCAGUGCCGCAGGGAAGCCGUUAAGUUUGCCGCCUGGGAAGUACGUACGCAAGUAUGAAACUUAAAGGAAUUGGCGGGGAGCACCACAAGGGGUGAAGCCUGCGGUUCAAUUGGAUUCAACGCCGGAA